Molecule: long non-coding RNA, 362 nt
Filed under: Spirodela polyrhiza (greater duckweed)
Lineage: Eukaryota; Viridiplantae; Streptophyta; Magnoliopsida; Alismatales; Araceae
Description: long non-coding RNA (SPOL_LNC000656)
Source: RNAcentral
GCAUCUCUACGAGGAAACUGUGACGGAUGUACAUAAUUAUUUCUCCCUGCGCAGAUUGAGAUGGAGAAACUUUUGGCCCAGCUGGUGGAGACAGAAAUCAACAAACGAACGGUAAGUUUGUGCCACAUCAAGACAUACUGGUUGCAAUAAAUAAGGAAAUCAUGGUGCCCCUUGUAACCUGGACAUCAUGGAUAUCUUUGCAGAAAGAAGGCACCUACAAAGGAAAGAAGUUCAAUGCCAUCUGCCACUUCUUUGGCUACCAAGCUCGAGGGUCUCUACCUUCAAAGUUUGAUUGUGAUUAUGGCUAUGUAUGACGAUAAUCCUUGAUUUUUAUGCUUUUCCUUGAUAGUUAUCCAAGUUUU